This 840-nucleotide long non-coding RNA is filed under the name Ananas comosus (pineapple). Its description in RNAcentral is "long non-coding RNA (ACOM_LNC033222)". The record is from RNAcentral. Lineage: Eukaryota; Viridiplantae; Streptophyta; Magnoliopsida; Poales; Bromeliaceae.
GUUAUGGAAUAUGUAUUAAUGAUAUAUAUUGUGAUGAUAUUUUCUGCGUUGAAUAUUGGAAGGUAGAUAUGUUGGUAGAUAUUCUAAUUUUUUUACUCUGUUAUAUAUUUGUACUCUUUCAAAAUAUUUUGGUUGUAUAUUUUUUUAUUUUUGAUUCAAUAUGUUGUUAUCUUUGUAAAUAUUCGUUGAUGUGCAGAUUGACUUGAUGUACAUAAAUAUUUCUGAAUUAUUACUGAUAUUCGAAUAGCAAUGCAAAGUUUGAAAGAUCGAAAUAAAUCGGAUUUGAAAACGCCUAACGAUACUCAACUCCACUAGGGGCUAAAUUUGAAAGGUUGGAAAUUAAUAUUUUUGGAGGGUAAAAUGAUAUUAUAACUAAAAUAUUAAUUGUAGUUUAGGAAAUACUAUUGUUAGUGAAAUUUAUAAAUAUGACAAUUUUAAUAUUGUUGUUUGAAAAUUUGAGGAAUUUUUUAAAAUUACAAAAGAGUAGUGAAAAAUAAUUUUUGGUACACAAUUACGCAAAAAUUUAUAUAAUUUUAAUCCUCAUUAUCCUUCUUUAUCAAUCAUUAUCUUCUUAUCCCACCUACUCCAACCAAUCAUUAUCCUUCUUUAUCCUUCUUUAUCAAUCAUUAUCUUCUUAUCCCACCUACUCCAACCAAUCAUUAUCCUUCUUUAUCAAUCAUUAUCUUCUUAUCCCACCUACUCCAACCAAACACUAUUUUUCAUUAUUCUAGACUAACUCCAACCCCCAACCAAACACAAAAAAACUUUAACCCCACUUUAACCCUGAACUUAACCCUAUCCCUGGAAUAGCUACUUUUUCCUUAACCCCAAACCAAACAG